GUGGGGAAUAUUGGACAAUGGGCGAAAGCCUGAUCCAGCCAUGCCGCGUGUGUGAAGAAGGUCUUCGGAUUGUAAAGCACUUUAAGUUGGGAGGAAGGGCAUUAACCUAAUACGUUAGUGUUUUGACGUUACCGACAGAAUAAGCACCGGCUAACUUCGUGCCAGCAGCCGCGGUAAUACGAAGGGUGCAAGCGUUAAUCGGAAUUACUGGGCGUAAAGCGCGCGUAGGUGGUUCGUUAAGUUGGAGGUGAAAUCCCCGGGCUCAACCUGGGAACUGCAUCCAAAACUGCAUGACUAGAGUACGGUAGAGGGUAGUGGAAUUUCCUGUGUAGCGGUGAAAUGCGUAGAUAUAGGAAGGAACACCAGUGGCGAAGGCGACUACCUGGACUGAUACUGACACUGAGGUGCGAAAGCGUGGGGAGCAAACAGGAUUAGAUACCCUAGUAGUCC
Molecule: ribosomal RNA, 450 nt
Filed under: uncultured bacterium
Lineage: Bacteria
Description: partial 16S ribosomal RNA
Rfam family: Bacterial small subunit ribosomal RNA
Source: RNAcentral